AAUCAACGCUGGCGGCGUGCCUCAGACAUGCAAGUCGAACGCGAAAGGCCCCUUCGGGGGCCGAGUAGAGUGGCGCACGGGUGAGUAACACGUGGGUAAUCUACCUCUGAGUGGGGAAUAACAGUCGGAAACGGCUGCUAAUACCGCAUAAUGCAGCGGCACCACAUGGUGACAGUUGUUAAAGCGGGGGAUCGUAAGACCUCGCGCCUAGAGAGGAGCCCGCGGCGGAUUAGCUAGUUGGUAGGUAACGGCCUACCAAGGCGACGAUCCGUAGCCGGCCUGAGAGGGCGGACGGCCACACUGGCACUGACAUACGGGCCAGACUCCUACGGGAGGCAGCAGUCGGGAAUUUUGGGCAAUGGGCGCAAGCCUGACCCAGCAACGCCGCGUGAAGGAUGAAGCUUCUCGGAGUGUAAACUU
This 420-nucleotide ribosomal RNA is filed under the name uncultured bacterium. Its description in RNAcentral is "bacterial SSU rRNA". It matches the Rfam family "Bacterial small subunit ribosomal RNA", at positions 32 to 432 of the family's 1533-position model. The record is from RNAcentral.